AUCAGCAGGAGACAAAGUUGCCAAUAGCACUCUGUCAACAAUGAGAAAUCAAUCACCCUAUGUGUGACAUCCUGUGUUCCUCCUAGGGAUUUGAAUCACAAUCAAGACAGGAGGGAGGAUACACACGCUUCUGUCAUCCCUGCCACUGAAAGCAAGUCACAGCCUGUCACUUUAAGGAUGGCAGUGGAGCGCCAGGAAAUAAUUUGGCAAUUACUACCUGGACUAAUCAAUUCCCUGCGCAGUCUCCAGAGUCCUGACAAUGGCCCACAGGGUGCUACUUCAUCCUUCUCCUCUCUGGCUCACUUUCCCAGCUGUUCUUCCAGAGUCCUGAGCUCCUUCUCAUCCUAGGACAGCCCGGCUAUUGCUGCUGAGUGGAGUACUCUUCCCCAGUCUUUACUGGAGAAAAUGUUCACCUUCUUGCUAAGACCUACUUUGAUCAAACAAUUGAAAGCUGUAUCCCUCCCCAGACCCAUUACUUUUCAUUGUUUCUUUUUAUUCUAAGGUACUUUUCCUAUAAUACAUUCAAAUAUAC
Molecule: long non-coding RNA, 532 nt
Filed under: Fukomys damarensis (Damara mole-rat)
Lineage: Eukaryota; Metazoa; Chordata; Mammalia; Rodentia; Bathyergidae
Description: lncRNA (ENSFDAG00000026472.1)
Source: RNAcentral